Molecule: ribosomal RNA, 433 nt
Filed under: uncultured bacterium
Lineage: Bacteria
Description: partial 16S ribosomal RNA
Rfam family: Bacterial small subunit ribosomal RNA
Source: RNAcentral
AACGAACGCUGGCGGCAUGCCUAACACAUGCAAGUCGAACGAGACCUUCGGGUCUAGUGGCGCACGGGUGCGUAACGCGUGGGAACCUGCCCUUAGGUUCGGAAUAACUCCCCGAAUGGGGUGCUAAUACCGGAUAAUGUCUUCGGACCAAAGAUUUAUCGCCUUUGGAUGGGCCCGCGUUGGAUUAGCUAGUUGGUAGGGUAAAAGCCUACCAAGGCGACGAUCCAUAGCUGGUCUGAGAGGAUGAUCAGCCACACUGGGACUGAGACACGGCCCAGACUCCUACGGGAGGAAGCAGUGGGGAAUAUUGGACAAUGGGCGAAAGCAUGAACCAGCAAUGACGGGUGAGUGAUGAAGGCCUUAGGGUUGGAAAGCUAGUUUAACCGGGAUGAUAAUGACAGUACCGGGAGAAUAAGCUCCGGCUAACUCCGUG